Molecule: long non-coding RNA, 337 nt
Filed under: Pan troglodytes (chimpanzee)
Lineage: Eukaryota; Metazoa; Chordata; Mammalia; Primates; Hominidae
Description: long non-coding RNA NONPTRT016540
Source: RNAcentral
CCAGAGAAGAAAAUAGUUUAUAAAGUCCAGGCCUCUGAAACAAUCCGCAUUUUAUUAACACUAUACUUCUUCUAGCUGCUACUAUCAGACUUAUAAUGUGAAGUAUCACCCAACUGGCAUACGUGGUGAGGAAAGACAUAUGACUUUUUUUACGUUUCACUUUUCUCAACUAUGAGCACAAAAUUAAGAUUUUAAACACUAUCAAUGUGCUCAAAAUGUCUCUGGUGCCCAAGAGUUCCAAAUGCAUUAUUGAUUGAUCGUGAGCACAGUCGUAAUGGAAUUGAAACAUCCAAGCAAAUAGCUGUUUCUUUAAUAUUUGUUUAGUUCACAAAUUAUA